RNAcentral lists this ribosomal RNA (252 nucleotides) under uncultured bacterium. Its description in RNAcentral is "partial 16S ribosomal RNA". It matches the Rfam family "Bacterial small subunit ribosomal RNA", at positions 524 to 775 of the family's 1533-position model. The record is from RNAcentral.
UACGAAGGGGGCUAGCGUUGUUCGGAAUUACUGGGCGUAAAGCGCGCGCAGGCGGUCUUCCAAGUCAGUGGUGAAAGCCCGGAGCUCAACUCCGGAACUGCCAUUGAAACUGUUAGACUUGAGGAUGAGAGAGGUGAGUGGAAUUCCCAGUGUAGAGGUGAAAUUCGUAGAUAUUGGGAAGAACACCGGUGGCGAAGGCGGCGAUCUGGGUCGAUACUGACGCUGAGGUGCGAAAGCGUGGGGAGCAACAGG